Molecule: ribosomal RNA, 464 nt
Filed under: Vreelandella stevensii
Lineage: Bacteria; Pseudomonadati; Pseudomonadota; Gammaproteobacteria; Oceanospirillales; Halomonadaceae
Description: partial 16S ribosomal RNA
Rfam family: Bacterial small subunit ribosomal RNA
Source: RNAcentral
CCUACGGGUGGCAGCAGUGGGGAAUAUUGGACAAUGGGCGAAAGCCUGAUCCAGCCAUGCCGCGUGUGUGAAGAAGGCCUUCGGGUUGUAAAGCACUUUCAGUGGGGAAGAAAGCCUUGGGGCUAAUACCCUCGAGGAAGGACAUCACCCACAGAAGAAGCACCGGCUAACUCCGUGCCAGCAGCCGCGGUAAUACGGAGGGUGCGAGCGUUAAUCGGAAUUACUGGGCGUAAAGCGCGCGUAGGCGGUCUGAUAAGCCGGUUGUGAAAGCCCCGGGCUCAACCUGGGAACGGCAUCCGGAACUGUCAGGCUAGAGUGCAGGAGAGGAAGGUAGAAUUCCCGGUGUAGCGGUGAAAUGCGUAGAGAUCGGGAGGAAUACCAGUGGCGAAGGCGGCCUUCUGGACUGACACUGACGCUGAGGUGCGAAAGCGUGGGUAGCAAACAGGAUUAGUACCCUGGUAGUC